RNAcentral lists this ribosomal RNA (253 nucleotides) under uncultured bacterium. RNAcentral's name for it is "partial 16S ribosomal RNA". It matches the Rfam family "Bacterial small subunit ribosomal RNA", at positions 524 to 776 of the family's 1533-position model. The record is from RNAcentral.
UACGUAGGGGGCAAGCGUUGUCCGGAUUUACUGGGCGUAAAGCGCGCGUAGGCGGAGCAUUAAGCGUGCCUUGAAAGCCCCCGGCUCAACCGGGGAAGGUGGGUGCGAACUGGCGCUCUUGAGGGCGAUAGAGGGGGGCGGAAUUCCUGGUGUAGCGGUGAAAUGCGUAGAGAUCAGGAGGAACACCGAUGGCGAAGGCAGGUCUCUGGGCAUUAACUGACGCUGAGGAGCGAAAGCAUGGGGAGCGAACAGG